RNAcentral lists this long non-coding RNA (1527 nucleotides) under Homo sapiens (human). RNAcentral's name for it is "LHRI_LNC1209.3". Lineage: Eukaryota; Metazoa; Chordata; Mammalia; Primates; Hominidae. The record is from RNAcentral.
GUUCUCCUUCAAGAGGUCCUUCACAUCCCUUGUAAGUUGGAUUCCUAGGUAUUUUAUUCUCUUUGAAGUGAUUGUAUACACAUAAACUUAUGGACACAUGAGUGAUAGUCAAAUUUCAAUCACUAAUGUGGCAUGAGCACUGACCCACCAGAAUGGCCAUGGUAAUUCACCAUGGAGCAGUAUUGCAUCAUCCUGAGUGAGAGUGAAGAAGAAUUGAGGUAGAGGGAAACUGAUAGAUGUGUUUGAGAUUUUAAAAUUAUUUCUCAAACUUUUACACCAAAAUAUAUCCUGGUACAUGUGCAACUUCUAUGGCUCUGUCAGACUCAUUUAAUAGGAAACUACCCACAGAAGAAAAUAAGGAAAACGAAUUCUGUAGGUAGAGAAAUGUAAUGACUAAGAUUUUAAAUGUUAUGACUAAGAUACAUGUUUAGUUGAUAAAAAUUAAUAAAAAUAAGAAACUUUCCUUCCUAGGGCAGCAUAAGAUCAUUUCAGAAUGAAGAUGCUUUGGGAUCUGACUUCGGACUGUAAGAAUGACAAACUCUGAAUGGGUGCAAAGGUAGCAGAUGACCUUCAAAGGAUGGUGAGAUUAAAUUUACCUACACCUAGAGAAAUAAUUGGAGCACAUGUCUAUUUGGGCCAAGAGGAUAAAGGCCAGUAGAGGAAUCAGAUCAAAGAACUUCCUCAGGGAAGUGUGCAGAGAACUGGAGUGGACCUUCCCCUAGGAAGCUGCCCAAAACGAGAGUGCUGGAAAGCUGGCCGCAGUGAGGCACUUCAGAUCCCAAGGGUAUGCUGGGGAAGCUGCCACAGGUGGGAGCACUUGCUGCUGGACCCUAGGCACUGUUGAAACAACUGCACCAUCUGCAGGAGCCCAGCAAGGCCAUUUGGUUCUGAAUACCACAUUCAAGAGGAGCAUUGUACACUGGAAUUUGCAAACCGAAACUGGAAGAUAGAAGUUUAUUUCUCUCUCCAGUCAUAAAGCUGUUGGAAAUUGAUACUGGGAGCUGCUAGUGACCAUCUUUCCAGUUCUAUGUGUGUUUGUGUUGAAAGAACUUGUUUGCAUCCCUGCUAGACAAAAACCUACAAGUUAACCUUUGCCCGUAUGGAGUUGUAAAACAGACCAGUUGAUAGAAAGAGAAGCCUGCUUCCCGAAGCCCUCAGCAGAAGCCGAGCAGAUGUUGGCACCAUGCUUCUUGUACAGCCUGCAGAACUUGAAGAAACACUCCAUAUUAGUUUUCUGGAGCCAUCGUUAUGAAGCAACACAGACUGGGUGGCAUAAACAAUGGAGAUUUAUUUUUUCACAAUUCCGGAGGCUAGAAGUUUGAGAUCAAGGUGUUGGAAAGUGUCUCAGGAUGAUACAUACCGGUUUUUAACUUUGGUGUCAUCAAAUGCAAUUGCAAUGUGACUGUUUCUUGAAAGCCCGAACUGCUUGCUCCCUAUCAAAAGAGCUGGUUCUGAUUCUGCAGCACAAGGACCCUGUAAAAUACCCAGGAGAGAAAAACAGGAGAUUAUGGACUGUUCUUUAAAAAG